This 21-nucleotide microRNA is filed under the name Ananas comosus (pineapple). RNAcentral's name for it is "microRNA s0671_c88a". The record is from RNAcentral. Lineage: Eukaryota; Viridiplantae; Streptophyta; Magnoliopsida; Poales; Bromeliaceae.
AACUACGAGAUCGCCCCUUUC